UUGACCUCAAAUCGGGUGAGACUACCCGCUGAACUUAAGCAUAUCAAUAAGCGGAGGAAAAGAAACUAACAAGGAUUCCCCUAGUAACUGCGAGUGAAGCGGGAAAAGCUCAAAUUUAAAAUCUGGUGGCCUUUUGGCCAUCCGAGUUGUAAUUUAGAGAAGCGUCUUCCGCGCUGGACCGUGCACAAGUCUCCUGGAAUGGAGCGUCGUAGAGGGUGAGAAUCCCGUCUUUGGCACGGAUGCACCAGGGCUUCUGUGAUGCGCUCUCGAAGAGUCGAGUUGUUUGGGAAUGCAGCUCAAAAUGGGUGGUGAACUCCAUCUAAAGCUAAAUAUUGGCGAGAGACCGAUAGCGAACAAGUACCGUGAGGGAAAGAUGAAAAGCACUUUGGAAAGAGAGUGAAACAGUACGUGAAAUUGUUGAAAGGGAAACGCUUGAAGUCAGUCGCGUCGCCCGAGACUCAGCCUCGCCUCGGCUUGGUGUACUUCUCGGCCGACGGGUCAGCAUCAAUUUUGCCCCUCGGAUAAUGGCGAGGGAAAUGUGACACCUUUGCGGGUGUGUUAUAGUCUUUCGUCGCAUGCGAGGGUCGGGAUUGAGGAACUCAGCACGCGCCUUUGGGCGUCGGGGUUUUUGCCCACGAUACGUGCUUAGGAUGUUGGCGUAAUGGCUUUAAACGACCCGUC
This 681-nucleotide ribosomal RNA is filed under the name Russula cf. fuscorubroides 001012-22b. RNAcentral describes it as "eukaryotic LSU rRNA". It matches the Rfam family "Eukaryotic large subunit ribosomal RNA", at positions 1 to 653 of the family's 3401-position model. Lineage: Eukaryota; Fungi; Basidiomycota; Agaricomycetes; Russulales; Russulaceae. RNAcentral also lists the same sequence under 1 other name. The record is from RNAcentral.